UGGCUCAGAUGGUAAAAGCGUCUGUCUACAAUGCAGGAGACCCGGGUUCAAUCCCUGG
This 58-nucleotide transfer RNA is filed under the name Bos taurus (domestic cattle). Lineage: Eukaryota; Metazoa; Chordata; Mammalia; Artiodactyla; Bovidae. The record is from Rfam by way of RNAcentral. RNAcentral also lists the same sequence under 2 other names.